UAGGAGGUUUCUCAGAAGGUCCGGCUGCAUUCGGUACUAUACUAUAGUCUAUAUAUACUGCAGUAUAUUUUACUUUAAUUAACGGCAUAGUUUAAUUAAAUUCAUAAAGUAUACGAAGUAACGAAGUCUGAAAUUAACAGUGCCCUAUAAUAUACGAAGUCUGAAAUUAAUGCCCACUCAGAAGCAAGCAAGAAAACGUUCAUGGCUUCAUGGCUCAUGGGAAUGUUUUCUCAUGUCUAUAUAUGUCAAACGAAAACAAACAUAGGCGUACGGGAC
Molecule: non-coding RNA, 276 nt
Organism: Paramuricea clavata
Lineage: Eukaryota; Metazoa; Cnidaria; Anthozoa; Malacalcyonacea; Plexauridae
Source: the annotation of a GenBank genome assembly